UUUGACUUUUCGUCUUAUUUAAAUUUUUUUUGCGAUUGAUAUUUUUGUUUUUAUUAGAUGAUAAAUCAUAAAUAGUACUUUACGUGUGAAUAAUUUUUUUAAUUUUCUGAAAAUUUUUCAAAUAAGACAGAUGGUCAAA
This 139-nucleotide microRNA precursor is filed under the name Oryza brachyantha (malo sina). RNAcentral's name for it is "MIR812 microRNA precursor family". It matches the Rfam family "MIR812 microRNA precursor family", at positions 33 to 173 of the family's 205-position model. Lineage: Eukaryota; Viridiplantae; Streptophyta; Magnoliopsida; Poales; Poaceae. The record is from Rfam by way of RNAcentral.